RNA transcript from Drosophila guanche, 1166 nucleotides. It is a transcript of the gene named AP-1 complex subunit sigma-2, with no coding region annotated. Lineage: Eukaryota; Metazoa; Arthropoda; Insecta; Diptera; Drosophilidae. The transcript has 6 exons. The record is from RefSeq and is a predicted model, not a curated record.
ACUAUCACACGUUUACAACUUCGCUGCGAAUGGCAGCUGCACAAUAUUUGCUGUGCAUGAAAAAAAUUUAAUUUUUAUAUUUUAACAAAACGAGGCCGCCAAUUAUAAACACACAAAGGCCUAGCCCCAAAGAAUGAUGCUUUUCAUGCUGCUAUUCAGUCGGCAGGGCAAGCUACGGCUGCAGAAGUGGUACAUGGCGUAUCCGGAUAAGGUGAAAAAGAAGAUCACCCGGGAGCUAGUGACCACGAUACUGGCCCGCAAGCCCAAGAUGUGCUCGUUUCUGGAGUGGAAGGACUGCAAAAUCGUAUACAAGAGAUAUGCCAGCUUGUACUUCUGUUGCGCCAUUGAGCAGAACGACAACGAGUUGCUGACCCUAGAGAUUAUCCAUCGCUAUGUGGAGUUAUUGGAUAAGUACUUUGGCAGCGUUUGCGAGCUGGACAUCAUAUUCAAUUUCGAGAAGGCAUACUUCAUCCUGGAUGAGCUGCUAAUUGGCGGCGAGAUCCAAGAGACUUCAAAGAAGAAUGUACUUAAAGCGAUUGCUUCACAGGAUCUGCUACAAGAGCAAGAAGAGUUCUUUUACUCACUGCAAUAGAUCCUAAGAUACGAUUCUGUUUGUGUGUGUUGUUCAUUUUUUGUUUAAUAGCCCAAUUCAAAAUUGACGAUAUUGUAAAGCACACACACACAAACAAACAAACACACACGUUGUAAACGCCUCGAAAAUUGAUUGCAUGCCACAGCAACUUGCCCUCCGCCGAAAACGAAAAGAAUUGAUGAGACCCCGCAGAGUUUCUUCGAUGAUCAUGGCCUGGGAUAAGAUGGCAGGCCCAUCAAAUUAUAACAGUACUUAUUUUGCCUUAAAAUGUAUGCGUGUAUAUGUAUUCAAAUCUAACCUUAAAAGUGCAUCAGUUUUAUUAUAGAAUACGCUCCAUAUAUGGAGCCCGGCAAAUGCAAUUUGCAAAAGUCCUCACAUCCCCUCAAAAAGCCCCACACACAUUCAUACUUUUAAAGGAUAACUUAGAGAAUAAGCAAGGAAAGGCAAAGCGAAACGAAAAGAAUAAUCGACGGUGUGCUCAACUUUAGAGAUAUAAGAUAAAUCUGAUGAAAAGACACCCUAUGCAAAAUAUGCAAUAUCCAAUAUAUAUCCCAACGUAACUAAUCAAACAAAA